Molecule: ribosomal RNA, 368 nt
Filed under: Klebsiella sp. 106R
Lineage: Bacteria; Pseudomonadati; Pseudomonadota; Gammaproteobacteria; Enterobacterales; Enterobacteriaceae
Description: bacterial SSU rRNA
Rfam family: Bacterial small subunit ribosomal RNA
Source: RNAcentral
GGUCUUGACAUCCACAGAACUUUCCAGAGAUGGAUUGGUGCCUUCGGGAACUGUGAGACAGGUGCUGCAUGGCUGUCGUCAGCUCGUGUUGUGAAAUGUUGGGUUAAGUCCCGCAACGAGCGCAACCCUUAUCCUUUGUUGCCAGCGGUUAGGCCGGGAACUCAAAGGAGACUGCCAGUGAUAAACUGGAGGAAGGUGGGGAUGACGUCAAGUCAUCAUGGCCCUUACGACCAGGGCUACACACGUGCUACAAUGGCAUAUACAAAGAGAAGCGACCUCGCGAGAGCAAGCGGACCUCAUAAAGUUUUCGUAGUCCGGAUUGGAGUCUGCAACUCGACUCCAUGAAGUCGGAAUCGCUAGUAAUCGUA